Molecule: unclassified non-coding RNA, 1337 nt
Filed under: Hevea brasiliensis (rubber tree)
Lineage: Eukaryota; Viridiplantae; Streptophyta; Magnoliopsida; Malpighiales; Euphorbiaceae
Source: RNAcentral
AUUUGAAUUACAUAUUUUAUAUCUAAUGGAACAACUCUAGGAACCUUCGGUUCUGGGGGCCUUAAGCAAGUGGCCUAUGGGUAGAGCCACCUGAGAACAAAUUCUCAAACAAUUUGGGGGCCAUUUCCGGAAGAUUUACAGGCUGAUUAGGAGCCAUAAAAUUGACAAUCUUUUCAUGAAUAUUGUACCGGAUUUUACGACUCUUUGAAGCACGACGAUCAACAAUUUUUCGUUUCUUUGUUUGUAGUCUCUUCAAUGCAUAGAAUGCUGUCUCAGAUGAUGCGGGAUCUACAGCCUCAAAGAACUCCCUCAGCAAUUGCUGAUAGAAUUCAGAGUCAUCCAGAAGCUCCGGAUCACCAUCCAUGUUUGUUCCCUCUCCAUUGCCAGUAGCAUCUGGAACAGUUCCAAAUAGUGCAACUGCCGAUCUACUUUGCUGCAUUCCCUUUAUCAUUUUGCUAGGAUCUCUCAUAUAACCAGCUACUUGUUGACUAAUAUCCUGAUUAAAUGCUUGCAAUUUGCCUUUGAUCGCGGCAGCACCAGAGGUCACCUGGGUCUUUCUCUGCCAUUUAUCUAUCGAUUUAUCCCUAAAAGCAGCCAUCCUUGAAUGCAUUUGAGAAAUCUUCUGCCAAUCAUCAUCAACUUCACCUGACUUUACAGAAUCUUCCAAAAGCUUCGACCUUUUACCAGAAUUGACAUCCAUUGAUUUAGUAAUUGAUGGAUUCUUCUCCAGUAGUACCUCUUGCAAUUCCAGUAUGGAAUCCAAGGUUUUUCUGGAAGAGGCAAUGAGAUCUGUAUAUGCAUCUUCAACUGUGUCCUCUGAAUCACAAAAGGAAGACCUAAUUGGUUCCUGUGGAAGUCUAUUGGCGUUCGAGAAAGCCUUUUGCAGCAAGAAUCUUAGCUCAAGUGUCUUGUCCCAGAGAGCCUUCUGGUUUUUAACUGCUUGACCUUUGAGAAGAUCCUCAUCCUUAUGUUGCGUCAGAUUCUUCAAAAGAUCUUGUUCCUUGUGCCUAAGCUCCAUAUAUUCUUUCUCAAGUUCUUCCAUUUCAGCAUUUUUGUGUUCCUCAGUCAGUUUUUCUCGCUCUUCUUCUUCUUGAUCUCCUUCCUCAUCUUCCUCUUCCUCUUGUUCUCCACUUUCAUCUUCAUUGCUGUAAUGAUCGACGUCAUCGUCAUUGUCUGUAUAGUCAUUGUUUUCAUCACUGUCGUCAUCAAAGUUCUCGGCAUCGUCUGACAUCUCAUUUAAUAUUUCAUCAUUCUCAAAUUCAGAGUUGCUUUCACUCUCCUCUACUUUCCUCGAUUUCUUCGAAGACGUGCCCAUUUUCCUGCCUCCUAAAUCAGAU